RNAcentral lists this transfer RNA (72 nucleotides) under Ornithorhynchus anatinus (platypus). It matches the Rfam family "tRNA". Rfam says of the family: Transfer RNA (tRNA) molecules are approximately 80 nucleotides in length. Their secondary structure includes four short double-helical elements and three loops (D, anti-codon, and T loops). Lineage: Eukaryota; Metazoa; Chordata; Mammalia; Monotremata; Ornithorhynchidae. The record is from Rfam by way of RNAcentral.
AGCAGUGUGGCUUAGUGGAAAGAGCACAGGCUUGGUAGUCAGAGGUCAUGGGUUCUAAUCCCAGCUCUGCCA